This 1472-nucleotide ribosomal RNA is filed under the name metagenome. RNAcentral describes it as "bacterial SSU rRNA". It matches the Rfam family "Bacterial small subunit ribosomal RNA". The record is from RNAcentral.
AGAGUUUGAUCCUGGCUCAGGAUAAACGCUGGCGGCGUGCUUAACACAUGCAAGUCGAACGAAGUUUUUCUUUCGGGAGGAACUUAGUGGCGGACGGGUGAGUAACGCGUGGGUAACCUACCCUGUACAGGGGGACAACAGCUGGAAACGGCUGCUAAUACCGCACAAGCCCUUAGCACUGCAUGGUGCAUAGGGAAAAGGAGCAAUCCGGUACAGGAUGGACCCGCGUCUGAUUAGCCAGUUGGCAGGGUAACGGCCUACCAAAGCGACGAUCAGUAGCCGAUCUGAGAGGAUGUACGGCCACAUUGGGACUGAGACACGGCCCAGACUCCUACGGGAGGCAGCAGUGGGGAAUAUUGCACAAUGGAGGAAACUCUGAUGCAGCGACGCCGCGUGAGUGAAGAAGUAUUUCGGUAUGUAAAGCUCUAUCAGCAGGGAAGAAAAUGACGGUACCUGACUAAGAAGCACCGGCUAAAUACGUGCCAGCAGCCGCGGUAAUACGUAUGGUGCAAGCGUUAUCCGGAUUUACUGGGUGUAAAGGGAGCGUAGGUGGCAAGGCAAGCCAGAAGUGAAAACCCGGGGCUCAACCGCGGGAUUGCUUUUGGAACUGUCAUGCUAGAGUGCAGGAGGGGUGAGCGGAAUUCCUAGUGUAGCGGUGAAAUGCGUAGAUAUUAGGAGGAACACCGGAGGCGAAGGCGGCUCACUGGACUGUAACUGACACUGAGGCUCGAAAGCGUGGGGAGCAAACAGGAUUAGAUACCCUGGUAGUCCACGCGGUAAACGAUGAAUACUAGAUGUCGGGAAGCAUUGCUUCUCGGUGCCGUCGCAAACGCAGUAAGUAUUCCACCUGGGGAGUACGUUCGCAAGAAUGGAACUCAAAGGAAUUGACGGGGACCCGCACAAGCGGUGGAGCAUGUGGUUUAAUUCGAAGCAACGCGAAGAACCUUACCAAGUCUUGACAUCCUUCUGACCGGUACUUAACCGUACCUUCUCUUCGGAGCAGGAGUGACAGGUGGUGCAUGGUUGUCGUCAGCUCGUGUCGUGAGAUGUUGGGUUAAGUCCCGCAACGAGCGCAACCCUUAUCUUUAGUAGCCAGCGGUUUAGCCGGGCACUCUAGAGAGACUGCCAGGGAUAACCUGGAGGAAGGCGGGGAUGACGUCAAAUCAUCAUGCCCCUUAUGACUUGGGCUACACACGUGCUACAAUGGCGUAAACAAAGGGAAGCAAAGCUGUGAAGCCGAGCAAAUCUCAAAAAUAACGUCUCAGUUCGGACUGUAGUCUGCAACCCGACUACACGAAGCUGGAAUCGCUAGUAAUCGCAGAUCAGAAUGCUGCGGUGAAUACGUUCCCGGGUCUUGUACACACCGCCCGUCACACCAUGGGAGUUGGGAAUGCCCGAAGCCAGUGACCUAACCGAAAGGAAGGAGCUGUCGAAGGCAGGCUCGAUAACUGGGGUGAAGUCGUAACAAGGUA